GACGAACGCUGGCGGCGUGCUUAACACAUGCAAGUCGAACGGAAAGGCCCUGCUUGCAGGGUGCUCGAGUGGCGAACGGGUGAGUAACACGUGGGUGAUCUGCCCCUUACUUUGGGAUAAGCCUGGGAAACUGGGUCUAAUACUGGAUAGGACCAUGCUGUAGGUGGUGUGGUGGAAAGAUUAGUUUCGGUAAGGGAUGAGCUCGCGGCCUAUCAGCUUGUUGGUGGGGUAAUGGCCUACCAAGGCGUCGACGGGUAGCCGGCCUGAGAGGGUGGACGGCCACAUUGGGACUGAGAUACGGCCCAGACUCCUACGGGAGGCAGCAGAGGGGAAUAUUGCACAAUGGGCGCAAGCCUGAUGCAGCGACGCCGCGUGGGGGAUGACGGCCUUCGGGUUGUAAACUCCUUUCAGCCAUGAUGAAGCCCUUGUGGUGACGGUAGUGGUAGAAGAAGCACCGGCUAACUACGUG
This 469-nucleotide ribosomal RNA is filed under the name uncultured bacterium. RNAcentral's name for it is "partial 16S ribosomal RNA". It matches the Rfam family "Bacterial small subunit ribosomal RNA", at positions 28 to 507 of the family's 1533-position model. The record is from RNAcentral.